RNAcentral lists this ribosomal RNA (253 nucleotides) under uncultured bacterium. Its description in RNAcentral is "partial 16S ribosomal RNA". It matches the Rfam family "Bacterial small subunit ribosomal RNA", at positions 524 to 776 of the family's 1533-position model. The record is from RNAcentral.
UACGUAGGCAGCGAGCGUUGUUCGGAAUUACUGGGCGUAAAGCGUGUGUAGGCGGCGCUCUAAGUUCGGUGUGAAAUCUCUCGGCUUAACUGGGAGGGUGCGCCGGAAACUGGAGUGCUCGAACGUGGGAGAGGAAAGCGGAAUUCCUGGUGUAGCGGUGAAAUGCGUAGAUAUCAGGAGGAACACCUGCGGUGUAGACGGCUUUCUGGACCAUUGUUGACGCUGAGACACGAAAGCGUGGGUAGCAAACAGG